Crotalus tigris (Tiger rattlesnake) is the source of this 696-nucleotide long non-coding RNA. RefSeq lists it as uncharacterized. The record is from RefSeq and is a predicted model, not a curated record. Lineage: Eukaryota; Metazoa; Chordata; Lepidosauria; Squamata; Viperidae. The transcript is spliced from 3 exons.
AGAAGGAGGAAGUAUAAUGCAGCUUCUUGAGAAAAUAUCUUCUUUGUUAUUGUUCUUUUAGUUGCAGCUGUAAUCUGAAACGGUAAACAGAGGAGGGAAAUUGCAAUGUAGAGUAGUGAUUGAAGAGAAAAUCUUCGGAAUUGGGAAUUGCCAAGCGUACCUGCUGUGUAAGGCUUAUUGAUUAGAAAAAACCAAAAUGAAAAAGUUGUUAUGCCCUAAUAGUUUGUUCCAAGAUGGGAAAGGUCAUGUUUAAAUAUAAACAUGUACCAUUUGAGUGAGUUAACAGAGCAAACAGAGGAAGCAUUAAUGCCAAGAAAGAAAAUAUCAGAGGUUGGUGUGAACUAGGUAACAUUUCCUUUUAAGAUGGAUCAAUAUAGCUUUAUGGCUGAAUAGAUGAUGCUUGAAGGGCUAAUUCCAACCAAAGGGAACCCAGAUAAAAGAACUCCAGCUCUCCAAGGAACAGUGAUGAUUUCCUCGUUGCAAAUUCAUAAUGGGGGUUCAUUGUGCUGUAACAUUCCAUCACUCAGAAAACAGCCACUCAUAAACUGGAAUGUGCAACCCUCCAUCCUGACCACAUGACCUGUCAUGAAACCACAAGGAAGUCUACAGUCAAAGGGGAGCUUGGCCAUGGACAUUUGUUUGCAGGAUAGCGCCCGGUGUUCAAGUCUGUCCAGAUCCUCCUGUAUCCUAAGCCUG